NNNNNNNNNNNNNNNNNNNGAAUGCCGCGUGGAAGUAGAAGGCCCACGGAUUGUGAACUUCUUUUCCCAGAGAAGAAGCAAUGACAAUAUCUGGGGAAUAAGCAUUGGCUAACUCUGUGCCAGUAGUCGCAAUAAUAUAGAGGAUGCAAAUGUUAUCUGGAAUGAUUGGGUGUAAAGCGUCUAUAAGUGGCUUUUUAAGUUCGCUACCAAAUCUCAGGGCUCAACCUUGGAUAGGUGAUGGAAACUACCAAGCUGGAGUAUGAUAGGGACAAAGGGAAUUUUCAGUGAAGGGGUGAAAUGUGUAGGAAUCAGAAAUAACACCAAUAACGAAAGCAUUUUGCUAGGUCGGCACUGACACUGUGAGACGAAAGUUAGGGAGCAAAUGGGAUUAGAUACCCCAGUAGUCUUAGCUGUAAACGAUGGAUACUAAGCGCUAUGCGUAUUGACCCAUGAAAUGCUGUAGCUAACACGUUAAGUAUCCUAACUGGGGAGUACGUUCGUAAGAAUGAAACUCAAAGGAACUGGCGAGGGCCUGCACAAACGGUGGAGCAUGUAGUUUAAUUCGAUUCAAAUUGAAGAACCUUACCCAGACUUGACAUGCCACGAAUCCUCUUGAAAGAGAGGGGUGCCUUAAGGAAUACAGACACAGGUGGUGCAUUACUGUCGCCAGUUUGUGCCGUAAAGUAUUGGGUUAAGUCCCGCAAUCCUUGUGUUUAGUUGCCACCGUUGAGUUUGAAACCUUAAGAAAACUGUUGGUGAUAAGCCGGAGGAAGGUGAGGAUGACGUCAAGUUAGCAUGUCCCUUAUGCCUUGGGUGACACACGUGCUACAAUGGACGGGACAAAGGGUCGCGAUUCCGCAAUGGUGAGCUAACUCCAAAAACCCGUUCGCAAUUCGGAUUGCAGGCUACAACUCACCUGUAUGAAGCCAGAAUCACUAGUAAUUGUCGGUCAGCUAUACGACAGUGAAUUCGUUCCUGGGGUUUAUACACACUGCCUGUCACACUAUCGGAACUAGUCAUGCCCAAAGUCGUUACCUUAAUCGCAAUGAGAGGGAUGCCGAAGGUAGGGCUAAUGACCUGAGUGAAAUCGUAACAAAGUACCCUUAUUAUAUUAUAU
Gossypium hirsutum (cotton) is the source of this 1117-nucleotide non-coding RNA. The record is from Rfam. NCBI's taxonomy places the organism in Eukaryota, Viridiplantae, Streptophyta, Magnoliopsida, Malvales, Malvaceae.